This 441-nucleotide ribosomal RNA is filed under the name uncultured bacterium. RNAcentral describes it as "partial 16S ribosomal RNA". It matches the Rfam family "Bacterial small subunit ribosomal RNA", at positions 338 to 795 of the family's 1533-position model. The record is from RNAcentral.
CCUACGGGAGGCAGCAGUGGGGAAUAUUGCACAAUGGGGGAAACCCUGAUGCAGCGACGCCGCGUGAGUGAAGAAGUAUUUCGGUAUGUAAAGCUCUAUCAGCAGGAACGAGACAAGACGGUACCUGACUAAGAAGCCCCGGCUAACUACGUGCCAGCAGCCGCGGUAAUACGUAGGGGGCAAGCGUUAUCCGGAAUCACUGGGUGUAAAGGGAGCGUAGACGGCUGAGCAAGCCUGAAGUGAAAGGCGGGGGCCCAACCCCCGGACUGCUUUGGGAACUGUACGGCUGGAGUGCAGGAGAGGUAAGUGGAAUUCCUAGUGUAGCGGUGAAAUGCGUAGAUAUUAGGAGGAACACCAGUGGCGAAGGCGGCUUACUGGACUGUAACUGACGCUGAGGCACGAAAGCGUGGGUAUCGAACAGGAUUAGAUACCCCUGUAGUC